AGGCCUAACACAUGCAAGUCGAACGGCAGCACAGGAGAGCUUGCUCUCUGGGUGGCGAGUGGCGGACGGGUGAGGAAUACAUCGGAAUCUACUUUUUCGUGGGGGAUAACGUAGGAAACUUACGCUAAUACCUGCAUACGACCUACGGGUGAAAGCAGGGGAUCUUCGGACCUUGCGCGAUUGAAUGAGCCGAUGUCGGAUUAGCUAGUUGGCGGGGUAAAGGCCCACCAAGGCGACGAUCCGUAGCUGGUCUAGAGAGGAUGAUCAGCCACACUGGAACUGAGACACGGUCCAGACUCCUACGGGAGGCAGCAGUGGGGAAUAUUGGACAAUGGGCGCAAGCCUAGAUCCAGCCAUUACCGCGUGGGUGAAGAAGGCCUUACGGGUUAGUAAAGCCCUUUNUAGUAGGGGAAAGAAAUCCAGGCUAGGCUAAAUACCCGGNUAGGGAUGACGGUAACCCAAAGAAUAAGCACCGGC
This 477-nucleotide ribosomal RNA is filed under the name uncultured bacterium. Its description in RNAcentral is "bacterial SSU rRNA". It matches the Rfam family "Bacterial small subunit ribosomal RNA", at positions 44 to 497 of the family's 1533-position model. The record is from RNAcentral.